Long non-coding RNA from Salvia miltiorrhiza (redroot sage), 1337 nucleotides. RefSeq lists it as uncharacterized. The transcript has 2 exons. The record is from RefSeq and is a predicted model, not a curated record. Lineage: Eukaryota; Viridiplantae; Streptophyta; Magnoliopsida; Lamiales; Lamiaceae.
UUUAUAUUUUUAUUAGUUUUUAAUAAUUGUAAAUAUGUAAGCCCUAAAAUAAUCAAAGUAUCAGACGUGAAUUCUUUCUCUCCCUCUGUGCGGCUCUGCGUCCCAACCCAAGUGCCCUCUGCAGCAGUCCCACCGUCCCGGCGUCCCCUCUGCAGCAGUCACCGUCCGGCCCGUUCUCCGACGCCGUGCACUGGUCUCCCAGCCUUGAGUCCUCUCUCUGGCAUUUUCUCGAACACCUGGCCCUUAAUCAGAUUCCAACUCCGAUCCUCAUUCAUCGGAAUAAGAAGGCUUUUCAUGAUCAUAAUCCGUAAAAACUCCAAAAUUCCACGCAUUAUAUUUUAUUUUUUAUAUAAUUUGGAAAUUGGUGCGUUUUGUGGUUUAUUUUAUGCUUUGCAGGAGAUUUAGGUUUUAUAGAUGGAAGAGUGCAAUUUUGGAAAUUUUGGGUUAAGAAUGACGCUUUUUAGCAUAGCUCUGUCGCCAGAGCUGAGCUGCGAGCAUAGCUCUGUCGCUAGAGCCGAGCUGCGAGGAUAGUUCUGUCGUCAGAGCUGAGCUGCGAGCAUAGCUCUGUCUCCAGAGCUGAGCUGACUUGCAAAGUUAGAGCUGAAAUUUCCAGAGCAGAACUUCCCUAUGCAUAGCUAAAAUCUUCAGAGCUGAGCUGAAUUCGCCAGAGCUGACUUCCAUCUCUGUCAUGCCAUUCUACAGUUGACUUCCAGCUCUGACUACCUUUCCAGAGCUGACGCACCAGAGUUCGCUUAAGUUCCAGAGCAGAGUUACUCUCGCCAGAGCUAACUUCCAGCUCUGCCAUGAUCGCCAAAGUAAUUUGACAGCGCAGAGCUAAAGAUCGACAGAGUCAACUUAUGCAGAGCUGACUUUUCAACUUUGCACUUUUUCAGAGCUGACUUUCAGCUCUGCACUUACCUUUGCAGAGCUGCAAUUUUCACCAGGAUGGAGAUUACUUGCAGAGCACGCCAGCUGGACUUACCUAUGUCUACACGAUUUUAUUGCCUUUAGAGUCCAGCUUUGCAUGGCAACUUUGAGGAUGAUCAAGCGUGAGUUGAAGUCUAUAAAUAGGGCUUUGUUUUUCAUUGAAAAGGCUCCCUCGUUUUUUGCCCUAAUUUUUGUGUUCUGCCGUGAAGAGUAUUCCAGCGCUGCACUGCACCAAAUUUAGGCGUUUAUUGCUUUCCUAGUUUCUUCAAGUUUUCGAGUUUUUAGUUCUAGUUUGUUUUUAAGUUUGUUUCUUUAGUUUUAAGUUUCGAAUGUGUAAUCACGUGACAAAUUUCAACCUCGUGACGUUCACGGUAUUUCGUAUUUAAAUUCAAUUUAUUUAUGUUUAAUCA